ACCUAUAACUUUUCUAUCUGUAAAAACCUUUGUGACAUAACUUAUGGACCGACUAAGUAUUUUUCAUUGAGUCUUACUAAAGCCACCAUGGCAGGUGAUGUAAAUGUAUUGCCUUUCGUUACUGUAAGGUGAAUACUACUAUGUGGAAAAUACAGUACCUAAUUUAUAUUGUAUGACGAUUCCGCUUUGUCCCGACAAAAAAAUGAGAAAUAUUGCAUCAGAAAUGUUAAGUACCUAAGCGCUCCGUACUUUUUCAAAACCAUCAAAGCGUCGUUCCAUAUUGACAAAUAUAGGAACGACACUACUUAAUAAAAGUACUUCAAAGUGUCGAUAUUGGAAAGAAAUCAUUCGUUUUGGGGACUCGAGCCACGCGUCGCGAAUAUACCUAAUGCAAUUACGAGAGAUGGAUUGCUCGAGUUCGAGCCGGGAGGACGUCGUCGUAUAACUUCCUUAUCUUCGCGAGGUACCCACUUUUAUGACGACUUUGCGUUAUAAAAAGGGAAGCAAAAAUACGGGCACAGCAUUUAGACAACGAUGUCUGAGCAUAACGUACAACCGGGAAAAUUAUUCUUAUCUGCAAUUUAUUUUGAACACUUGUUACUGUCUCGGUGUGAAUAAAAAAUAUGCGUCAUAACUAUUAAUUCUGAUGCUGUGCAUUUGAGCUCUCUGGUGUUAUCUGGAACGAAGCUAUGAGGGAAUUGAAAACGAUACGGAACGGUUUGAGAAAAGGUGGGUAGUGUAGUGUCGAUUUUUUUUUGUUUGUCUUGGCGGGUAAAGUGUCACUUUUUGAGUAACUAUACGAAAAAUAAUG
Long non-coding RNA from Cydia pomonella (codling moth), 811 nucleotides. RefSeq lists it as uncharacterized. The transcript is spliced from 2 exons. The record is from RefSeq and is a predicted model, not a curated record. NCBI's taxonomy places the organism in Eukaryota, Metazoa, Arthropoda, Insecta, Lepidoptera, Tortricidae.